Molecule: ribosomal RNA, 472 nt
Filed under: uncultured bacterium
Lineage: Bacteria
Description: SSU rRNA
Rfam family: Bacterial small subunit ribosomal RNA
Source: RNAcentral
AGGACGAACGCUGGCGGCGUGCUUAACACAUGCAAGUCGAACGGUAAGGCCUUUCGGGGUACACGAGUGGCGAACGGGUGAGUAACACGUGGGUGAUCUGCCCUGCACUUUGGGAUAAGCCUGGGAAACUGGGUCUAAUACCGAAUAUGACCAUUGGUUGCAUGACUGGUGGUGGAAAGCUUUUGCGGUGUGGGAUGGGCCCGCGGCCUAUCAGCUUGUUGGUGGGGUUAAGGCCUACCAAGGCGACGACGGGUAGCCGGCCUGAGAGGGUGUCCGGCCACACUGGGACUGAGAUACGGCCCAGACUCCUACGGGAGGCAGCAGUGGGGAAUAUUGCACAAUGGGCGCAAGCCUGAUGCAGCGACGCCGCGUGAGGGACGACGGCCUUCGGGUGUAAACCUCUUUCAGUAGGGACGAGCGCAGUGACGGUACCUACAGAAGAAGGACCGGCCAACUACGUGCCAGCAGCCGC